RNAcentral lists this small RNA (5970 nucleotides) under Pyricularia oryzae. RNAcentral describes it as "Magnaporthe oryzae sRNA M_BR32_EuGene_00109901". Lineage: Eukaryota; Fungi; Ascomycota; Sordariomycetes; Magnaporthales; Pyriculariaceae. The record is from RNAcentral.
UAAUCCUUAUACAGGCAAAAGGCGAUAUAGUUAAAUUACUAUGCAUUUUAAAUAUGGGAAUAAAAAAUCGAAUAAUAAAUCGAAUAAAAAUUGUAAAGAUGCACAAAAACUACCGUUAUAUAAACAAAUAUUUGGGGCUUUUAACGAUGGUUGAUUUUUUGUUUUACUGCUUAUAUUGGCCGGGUUAUUAACCGCUUUGUUUAUUUAAUUUAUAUUUUUACUUUUUAUUAUAUUAACAAAUAUAUAUACGGUAAAAAAUGAAGAUUGUAUUUAAAAAUAAUAUUUAUAAGUAUUUUCAUAUAUAAUUAUUGCAUUAUUAUUUUUGAGAUAUUUAUUUAAAAUUCUAUAAUAAAAAAUAUAAAAUUUACUAAAUUUGUUAAAUUUAUUUUAUUUUAAUAUAUAAUAUAAUUUGGUAGUUAAAUCUUCAUAUGGAAUAUUAUUAUAUAUAUUUAACAUAUAAUUUAGAUCAUGGGUUAUUUUUAAAAAAUCUAUUUAUUGAAACAAAUAAAAAGAAUAAAUGUAAAUAUUGCUAUUUCUAUUUCUAAAAUGGCCAAUUUUGGGUUUUUUAUAAAACGGAUCUAACGUGGGCGUUCGUUUCUAUAUAAAGUCCAGACGUUGAAAUUUUGUUUUGGUAUUGUAAAAAUUGGUUAAAAUGCAAACCCGUUUCGAUUGCAAAUUUUAAAUUAUUUUUAUUUAUUUUACCUUUUCGGUUUUGGUAUACGUUAUAUUAUGUAAUAUUAGUACCGAAAUUCUUAUAUAUAAAAUCUUUAUAUAUAUAACCCCCCACGUACAAUAGUUUUUAAAUUUUGUCGAGAAAUAAACUAAUAAUAAAAUUAAAUCGAAAAUUUAAUUUUGUAACAAAACUUAUAUCCCAGUUAAAGAAUUUUUCCGAUUUUUAUCCUAAUUCCGUCAAUUUGCAUAUUUAAAAUAAAAAUUAAAUCGUUGUUAAAAAUUCGGUUAAUUGCUAUAUCCAACGUGCAAACUGUAUGUUUUUACAGUUUUUACUUAAUUGAUUAUAAAAAAGUGAAACUAAAGUUCAAUUAUUUAAUAUAUGGUAGGAACCCUGCGAACGACGAAAAACGACAAAAUGGCCUCAGACCUGAUCCUGCGCGUUCUUUGCGCGGACCCACAGGGUAUAAGCAAAGCCACGAAUUGAGUCACAGGUUCAAUUGUGGAGCGCGCGAUUAGGGGUGAGCCCUGAAACUAAGGUAUAUCCCAAAACCGCAAUUGAGCCACGUUCAAUUGCGGAGCUACGGGCUUCAGGGAUAAGCCCUGAGACUAUAAUUUAUCCAAGUUUAUAAAAGUCCGACUCUAAUCCCUGCUUUUCGGCUAGUGUUUCAAUAUUCAAACUUAAAUAAAUAGAGUUUAUUAUUUGCAAUUCUGGGUUAAAACUAUAAUUUGUGAAAACUAUAUAAAGAUACAAGUCGCAGAUACAUUCAAUGGUAUUUUGGAUGUCAGCCCAUUUAACAAACACUGAAUCUUAAUAGUUUCCGAAAUCAGCUAGCUGGAAUCUAGUAUCAAUCCAACUUCACCAUGCAAAUCAUUACUUUUCUAUCACUUUUCUCCUUUAUGGCCGCUGCGUUGGCUCAGAAGGGCGUUGGUGGUAUGUCCUAAUCCAAAAUCUUUCCCAUAACACCUUGUACCUUGAUACAACUCGUUUUAUAACGCAAAAGUUUGCUAACUUUUCCCAAGGCGAAUGCCGAAAUGAUGCUGAUUGUAUUCGGUGCGUCGAGAACAAAACGCCCCUGAUUUGCGGCUGUAAGUUAUUUGAGAAUAUGUUACGAAUGUUUCCAGGGGUUUGGGAUUAAUUAUAUUAAUAUACUCCAGCCGAUACAUCCUCAACUACUGGUAGAAGGUGCAAAACAGCUACGGGUCCUUGUCAACCUUUCUAAUCUCAACACUCCUGUCACCAAUAAAGGGUUGGGCCGGUAAUAGGGACAUCAGGUGGGGUUGCACCCCUUCAGAUGACGCUCGUCCAGAGAAGAUUACUGACCGACAGGACCAGGAUUCAACGCAUGGGCGAAAUCAAGGGGGUACGCCUUUAUUAUACAAAGCCAACCUGGGCACCGUUUCAAACAUUGUUGUUACGGACUGGCAUCCCUGAGCGACUGCCAACCAUGACUAGCUCCACCUCAUGUGACAAGGCGCCAGGGUUCGUUUGUUAUAUGUUCACUUAGGCGCGUACACGCGGUUGGCACUGCGUGCCCUUCUUUUAUAUUUAGCUUUAACUGUUCGAGUAGAAUCGCCCUUAUAUUAAUUGCAACUUUGUCUUAUUCGGUUCGCUUUCGCAAAAGUUCGAUAAAUUAUAUAACCAUUAUAAUGUUUUGUCUCAUGUUGGAAAUUUGCAGAAGCCGUUGGGGGACAGGCCGUGGUAAUAGCGAAGGUAGCGAGAAUGUGUUUAAAAACCUAUAAUAGCUGGUAAAAUAUACUAAGUGUGACGCGUAAUUAAAAAUUAAUAAAAAGAUGCCUUUCGGACAUAUGGGUGAAACAGAAAAAAGCAAAGUGGGUAAAAUCUUUUAAAUGUUGAGAAUUUACCGGUUAUAUAUAUAUAUGCUGGUCAAAUUAGGAGGUUUUUUGAUUGAAAUUUAAAACUUUUAAAAAUUUAACGUUUAUAUGAAAAUUAGGCCCCCGGACCUCUUUCCAGAAUCACGAUUCGAUUCCACGCCGAGCCCGGGAUUGGAUAAAGGGGUUUGUUUACCCGGAUUUAAACGCGCCUUUCCAACGCGCCGUUAAUUGUAAUUUUUCUAUUCCUUUCAAUUUAAAUUUUCGUUUAUAGCGCCUAAUAUAUUAAGGCUCUCUAAUAUUUACCUGGCCGUAAUAUUAAUAAACGCCCAACUAAACGCCUAGGUUUAAAAUGCUAGUAAUUUGGGCAGAAAAUAGCCUAACAUUUCACCUAUCCAAAAAUUAAAUCGAUUAACGAAUAUAAAAAUGGCCGAAGCCGUUCGAUCCAAAUUAUUAGCCCCGGUUAAACCGUUAACCCAGCCUUAUAACCAUUGCGGUAAUCGGACCAAUUUAAAACACGAAAACGUUUGCAAGGGUGCCUUGCGCAUAUAUAUAGCCCGCCACGACCAAAUAAAUAAAAGUUUCGUUAAUUUGUUAAAAGAUUGGCCAAAACUUAAUGUUAAAAUCGAACGCGAUUUAAAUAACAAAAAUAACAAAAAUAGCCCCAAUUUUAACCCUAAUAUUACGACCAGACAAUUGGGUCGGCACCAGGAAGGCCAGGCGGAAUUACACCCCUCCUAACAACAUUUACCCAGGGAAAUUACCGACCGGUAGGAAGAGGAUCACAUAAGGGAAAAAAUAUGUAAUAUUAUAUAAUUACCAAGGAAAUAAUUUCAGUGAUUUAGGGAAAUUAGGAAGAUUAUAUCUAGAGUAUAUUUUAUAUAAAACACGCUUAUUAUUAUUUAAAUAAAUUCGAUUUAAGGAUUGUUUAGCAGCAAUUAAAUUUUAAUUAACCUUAAUAUUUAUUUCAGAACAAUUAUAAUUUUACCCCCAGUUAUUAAGAGCCCCAGUUACCCAACCAAACGUUUAGUCGUUUCAAUCCAUUGUAUUUUAUUAUAAGAACAGGUUACCUAAUAUUUUAAUCGUAACACCUACCGGCCAGAAAAAUAAUUAAAACUUUUAUAUUUUCGGGGGGAUUACUUAUAAUUCCGUUGCUGGUUUUAAUUUUGUAUAUGGUAUUUAAGGCGGUAUUAGGGUAAAAACGGGCCCAUAUAAUAUAUAAACUGUGGAUUGGUUAAAAUUUAAUACGCUAAUUGGAAAAAAACUAACGGUUAUAUAUUAUUAGAUGGUUUAAAUGUCGGUAAAACAAAAAAUAAAAAAAAGGAAAAAAAGACAGAAAUAUUGGCAGUAAAUAAUAUGUAAAUGUAUAAUUAUUACCUAGGCACGUUUGGGUAAUUAUAACUAAUGGACUAUACGGUAUAAUAAUUAUAAAUUAAUUGCAAACUUUUAUUACGUAUCCCGGUUAUAUUUUAUAAAAGUUCCAAGGUUAUUGGAACUUUUAAUUAAUUUGGAAAAUGCUAUAUUACCACCCUGGUCGGUGGUAAUAAUCUCUAUAUAAUAUAAUCAACUUGCUAUAUCCACCAAAAUUAUAUAUAAACCGAUUUUGCUCCUAUAUAGCGAAUAGCGAAAACGUAUUUAACAGGUGUGGAUUUUAAUAUAACCUGCGCAAUUUUAGUUAACGUGCAUUUCGAAUGUUUAAAAUUGCGAUUUUGAACUGCAAUUGGUGACAAUUAAUAUUUUGCUGUAUAUUUUGUGCUCCAUGUCAGUAAAAAACCGGUUUGUAAAAUUUGUUAAAUUCCAGUUUGUCCUAAAUAUUAAUUCCACCUUAAAAUCUGGUUAUUAGUCCCAGGAAGCUCCCUAAACUUGGUAUUAAAGUUAUUUAUUAAAUAUUAAUAUAAAUAAAAUAAUAAAUAGAAAUAUAUAAACGAUUUUAAAUAAAAUAUUAUAUAUGCAAAGUAAAAAUAACCUGUUUUCUCUUUUUUUUAUUUUUUUCUAUCGCAAAAUUAAUAUGCGAAGAAAUUUUAAAAUGGUAAAUUUAAUAAUAAUUUAUUAUUAAUAAAAUUUUUCAAUAAAAGCACGGCCAAUAUAAUGCUAAUGGAAUUUACCGUACAAAGGUUUGCCGGCGAUCUUGGAAUAAUAGCUACGAUUAUCGCACUUGGGCGUAUAAAUACACGCUAAUUAAUAUAUAUUACGUGCGAUCGAAAUUUUUAAUUUCUCAAACAUCCACAAAUUCAUACCACCCUUUAAUAUCCUUUUAUAACCAAACUGUAAUUUUUUCUUUUUCAUGUAAUAAAAAAACAAAUAAUUAAAUAUAAUAAACUGCAUUAAUUAUAUUAUUUUAACCCCGAAUACUUAUGCGUAAACAAGGUUUAUCAGCAAAAUUAUUUUGUAUAUUAAAUAAGAAAUAUGGAAAAUCGGAAUUUAUUUUGGAAACUAAUUGCGGGCAACCAAAUAUAAAUAAAUAAAAUAUUAAUUCUACCAAAAAUAUAUUCAAAAACCCCAUUCUAAUUUACAUCCAAAUUGCUUUUUGCAAUAGGAAAUUCGUUCAAAGUUUGAUUUUUUUCAAAUAGUAAAAGAUUAGUAAAUUUUGGAAAAUAAUUUCCACCCAAUGCUUAAACUAUCGUUUUUGGAAGUAGAAAUAAAAUAAUUUCGCGUUAAAGAAAUUCUUUUAAUUGCCAAAAGGCGAGACGGACGGAAAGGAAAAGGAAUGCGCUAAUUGGGGAGGUAUAUGGGAGGAGUCGGUGCAGGAAAAACGUCUUAAAGACAAUUAUAAAAUUAGGUAAGAUAGUACGUAAUUAACAGCUUUAAUUGCGAUGAAAAAUUAUUUAUUUAACCACCGUUUGGGGGAAUAAUUAAACAUUGGAAUUAUCGAUGGCAAAUUGCAAAUAAAUGCAAAUUGGACUAACCAAAACCAUGGUAUAUUCUAAAUAGGCAAGGCAGGGGGUUAAUAUAACUGCGCAAAUUAUUAUAAUGUUAAGGGAUGAAAUAGUAUCGAGCACGGAGGUGUAGUGCCAAAAGCAAAACAUUGCGUGCGGAGGCGAUAAUGGAAAUUAAAAAUUACCAAAACAGUAUUAAAACAAAAAAAAAAAAUAUGCGAAGGGAUAAUUUUGACAAUAGCAAAUUACGAGUUUACGCAAAUAUUGUCGCCUUGCGUUUCCACGAGCAGGCCGAAUUACUGGGCCGCAAAAUAAAAUUUUUGCAUUAUUAUCGGCGUUAUAAUAUCGAAGGCUGUGGAACGUCCUGGUUAAUAUUAUAAAAGGUUAUUAAUUAUGGAAAUUAUCCUACUAUAGCGAGAAAAUAAGUACACCGAUAAGUACCAACAAAAUGUCCGGAUUUAUGCGCGCGAAAUUUAAUCGAAAUCUAGGGUUGGGAUUGCGAAGGUUUUUAUACCAGUCCCUCCUUUUAACCUUUCCCGCCUGAGUAAAUAUUGUAAAUCCUCCUUUUAUAAACCAUUAGUCCAGUUUUUAA